GGAAAGGUGGCUCAGAGGUUAAGAGCACUGGCUGCUCUUCCAGAGGUCCUGAGUUCAAUUCCCAGCUACCG
This 71-nucleotide transfer RNA is filed under the name Cricetulus griseus (Chinese hamster). It matches the Rfam family "tRNA". Rfam says of the family: Transfer RNA (tRNA) molecules are approximately 80 nucleotides in length. The record is from Rfam by way of RNAcentral. Lineage: Eukaryota; Metazoa; Chordata; Mammalia; Rodentia; Cricetidae.